AGGGUUUGAUCAUGGCUCAGGACGAACGCUGGCGGUGCGCCUUAUGCAUGCAAGUCGAGCGAAGCUUUUCAGUAGUUUACUACAGAAAACGACUGAGCGGCGAACGGGUGAGUAACGCGUGAGCAAUCUACCUUAGUUACAGGGAUAGCCCGAGGAAACUCGGAUUAAUACCUGAUAUUCUUUAUUUCUCGCAUGAGAAUAAAAGGAAAGGUCAGCCGAACUAAGAUGAGCUCGCGUUCUAUCAGCUAGUUGGUGAGGUAAAAGCUUACCAAGGCUACGACGGAUAGCUGGUCUGAGAGGACGAUCAGCCACACUGGGACUGAGACACGGCCCAGACUCCUACGGGAGGCUGCAGCAGGGAAUAUUGUGCAAUGAACGAAAGUUUGACACAGCGACACCGCGUGUGGGAUGACGGAUCUAGGUUUGUAAACCACUUUCAGGAGGGAAGAAAAUGACGGUACCUCCACAAGAAGCCCCGGCCAACUACGUGCCAGCAGCCGCGGUAAUAC
This 509-nucleotide ribosomal RNA is filed under the name uncultured bacterium. RNAcentral's name for it is "bacterial SSU rRNA". It matches the Rfam family "Bacterial small subunit ribosomal RNA", at positions 8 to 526 of the family's 1533-position model. The record is from RNAcentral.